RNAcentral lists this ribosomal RNA (253 nucleotides) under uncultured bacterium. RNAcentral's name for it is "partial 16S ribosomal RNA". It matches the Rfam family "Bacterial small subunit ribosomal RNA", at positions 524 to 776 of the family's 1533-position model. The record is from RNAcentral.
UACAGAGGUCUCAAGCGUUGUUCGGAUUCAUUGGGCGUAAAGGGUGCGUAGGUGGCGCCAUAAGUCAGGUGUGAAAUCUCGGGGCUCAACCCCGAAACUGCAUUUGAUACUGUGGUGCUCGAGUACUGGAGAGGAGAUUGGAAUUUACGGUGUAGCAGUGAAAUGCGUAGAUAUCGUAAGGAACACCAGUGGCGAAGGCGGCUCACUGGCCCACAACUGACGCUGAUGCGCGAAAGCUAGGGGAGCAAACAGG